UGGGGAAUUUUGGACAAUGGGCGAAAGCCUGAUCCAGCAAUGCCGCGUGUGUGAAGAAGGCCUUCGGGUUGUAAAGCACUUUUGUCCGGAAAGAAAUCCUUGGCUCUAAUACAGUCGGGGGAUGACGGUACCGGAAGAAUAAGCACCGGCUAACUACGUGCCAGCAGCCGCGGUAAUACGUAGGGUGCAAGCGUUAAUCGGAAUUACUGGGCGUAAAGCGUGCGCAGGCGGUUUGCUAAGACCGAUGUGAAAUCCCCGGGCUCAACCUGGGAACUGCAUUGGUGACUGGCAGGCUAGAGUAUGGCAGAGGGGGGUAGAAUUCCACGUGUAGCAGUGAAAUGCGUAGAGAUGUGGAGGAAUACCGAUGGCGAAGGCAGCCCCCUGGGCCAAAUACUGACGCUCAUGCACGAAAGCGUGGGGAGCAAAACAGGAUUAGAUACCCUGGUAGUCCACGCCCUAAACGAUGUCAACUAGUUGUUGGGGAUUCAUUUCCUAGUAACGUAGCUAACGCGUGAAGUUGACCGCCUGGGGAGUACGGUCGCAAGAUUAAAACUCAAAUGAAUUGAC
RNAcentral lists this ribosomal RNA (567 nucleotides) under uncultured bacterium. RNAcentral's name for it is "partial 16S ribosomal RNA". It matches the Rfam family "Bacterial small subunit ribosomal RNA", at positions 355 to 914 of the family's 1533-position model. The record is from RNAcentral.